This 531-nucleotide ribosomal RNA is filed under the name Mastigopsis hjorti (lampeyed whiplash squid). Its description in RNAcentral is "partial 16S ribosomal RNA". It matches the Rfam family "Bacterial large subunit ribosomal RNA", at positions 1809 to 2608 of the family's 2925-position model. The record is from RNAcentral. Lineage: Eukaryota; Metazoa; Mollusca; Cephalopoda; Oegopsida; Mastigoteuthidae.
AAAAACAUGUCUCUUUGUAAGUUGUAGAUAAAGAGUCGGGCCUGCUCGGUGAAUAAAUUGUUUUAACAGCUGCGGUAUUUUAACUGUACUAAGGUAGCAUAAUAAUUUGCCUUAUAAUUUGAGGCUAGAAUGAAUGGUUUGACGAAGGUUAAUCUGUCUCUAUCCUAUUUUUUAGAAUUUAAUUUUUAAAGUGAAAAAGCUUGAAUUUUUUAAAGGGACGAGAAGACCCUAUUGAGCUUGUAAUUUUAUUACUAUCAUGUAUUUAAUAUAUAAAGUAGUAUAUAAAUUUUAAUUGGGGUGAUUAAGGAAUAAAUAAUUAAAUUAAUAACUUCCUUAGGUUUAAUAUUGUUAGAUAAAGUAACCAAUAUUAUUGCUUAUAUUAUAGUUACCAUAGGGAUAACAGCGUAAUUUGUUUAGAGAGUUCUUAUUGAAAAAUGAGAUUGCGACCUCGAUGUUGGAUUAAAGUAACCUUAAGGUGCAGAAGCUUUAGAAGGUAAAUCUGUUCGAUUUUUAAAACUUUACAUGAUCUGA